AGAGUUUGAUCCUGGCUCAGGACGAACGCUGGCGGCGCGCUUAACACAUGCAAGUCGAGCGAGAACCGGGCCUUCGGGCCUGGGGAAAGCGGCGAACGGGUGAGUAACACGUGGGUAACCUGCCCUCGGCACCGGGAUAGCUCGGGGAAACCCGGAUUAAUACCGGACGGCCUCCGGAGCCUUCGGGCGCCGGAGAAAAGGUGGCUUCGGCUUCCGGCCGGGGAUGGGCCUGCGGCGGAUUAGCUUGUUGGCGGGGUAAAGGCCCACCAAGGCAACGAUCCGUAGCUGGUCUGAGAGGACGAUCAGCCACACUGGGACUGAGACACGGCCCAGACUCCUACGGGAGGCAGCAGUGGGGAAUCUUGCGCAAUGGGCGAAAGCCUGACGCAGCGACGCCGCGUGCGGGAAGAAGGCCUUCGGGUUGUAAACCGCUUUCAGGAGGGACGAAGCCACUCGGGUUAAUAGCCCAGAGGGUGACGGUACCUCCAGAAGAAGCCCCGGCUAACUACGUGCCAGCCGCCGCGGUAAUUC
This 531-nucleotide ribosomal RNA is filed under the name uncultured bacterium. RNAcentral describes it as "bacterial SSU rRNA". It matches the Rfam family "Bacterial small subunit ribosomal RNA", at positions 8 to 526 of the family's 1533-position model. The record is from RNAcentral.